Molecule: ribosomal RNA, 246 nt
Filed under: uncultured bacterium
Lineage: Bacteria
Description: partial 16S ribosomal RNA
Rfam family: Bacterial small subunit ribosomal RNA
Source: RNAcentral
GAUCAUGGCUCAGAUUGAACGCUGGCGGCAGGCCUAACACAUGCAAGUCGAACGGUAACAGGAAGCAGCUUGCUGCUUUGCUGACGAGUGGCGGACGGGUGAGUAAUGUCUGGGAAACUGCCUGAUGGAGGGGGAUAACUACUGGAAACGGUAGCUAAUACCGCAUAACGUCGCAAGACCAAAGAGGGGGGACCCUUCGGGCCGUCUUGCCAUCGGAUGUGCCCAAGUGGGAUUAGGUAGUUGGUG